UGAGGAAUAUUGGUCAAUGGACGUGAGUCUGAACCAGCCAAGUCGCGUGAAGGAAGAAGGUUCUAUGGAUUGUAAACUUCUUUUAUACGGGAAUAAAGUGCGCCACGUGUGGUGUUUUGUAUGUACCGUAUGAAUAAGCAUCGGCUAACUCUGUGCCAGCAGCCGCGGUAAUACGGAGGAUCCGAGCGUUAUCCGGAUUUAUUGGGUUUAAAGGGUGCGUAGGUUGUUUUUUGAAGUCAGCGGUGAAAGUUUGUGGCUCAACCAUAAAAUUCACCGUUGAAACUGGAAGACUUGAGUGUGUUUGAGGUAGGCGGAAUGCGUGGUGUAGCGGUGAAAUGCAUAGAUAUCACGCAGAACUCCGAUUGCGAAGGCAGCGUACUGGCGCCUGACUGACGCUGAGGCACGAAAGCGUGGGGAUCGAACAGGAUUAGAUACC
RNAcentral lists this ribosomal RNA (436 nucleotides) under uncultured bacterium. RNAcentral's name for it is "bacterial SSU rRNA". It matches the Rfam family "Bacterial small subunit ribosomal RNA", at positions 355 to 786 of the family's 1533-position model. The record is from RNAcentral.